This 105-nucleotide small nuclear RNA is filed under the name Salvator merianae (Argentine black and white tegu). Lineage: Eukaryota; Metazoa; Chordata; Lepidosauria; Squamata; Teiidae. The record is from RNAcentral.
UGAGUACCAAAGUACCACUAUACUAAAAUUGGAACAAUACAGUGAAGAUUAGCAUGGCCCCUGUGCAAGGAUGACAUGCAGAUUCAUGAUGCAUUCCAUUCUAAA